RNAcentral lists this small nuclear RNA (95 nucleotides) under Neotoma lepida (desert woodrat). RNAcentral's name for it is "U2 spliceosomal RNA". It matches the Rfam family "U2 spliceosomal RNA", at positions 1 to 95 of the family's 192-position model. From Rfam's summary of the family: U2 is a small nuclear RNA (snRNA) component of the spliceosome (involved in pre-mRNA splicing). Complementary binding between U2 snRNA (in an area lying towards the 5' end but 3' to hairpin I) and the branchpoint sequence (BPS) of the intron results the bulging out of an unpaired adenosine, on the BPS, which initiates a nucleophilic attack at the intronic 5' splice site, thus starting the first of two transesterification reactions that mediate splicing. Lineage: Eukaryota; Metazoa; Chordata; Mammalia; Rodentia; Cricetidae. The record is from Rfam by way of RNAcentral.
AAAGGUGUCCCUGCUUUUUGGCUCAGAUCAAGUGCAAUGUCUGUUCCUAUCAGUUUAAUAUCUGAUGUGUCCUCUAUCCAAAGAAAUAACAACAA